UGAACGCUGGCGGCAGGCCUAACACAUGCAAGUCGAGCGGAAACGAAGAGUAGCUUGCUACUCUGGCGUCGAGCGGCGGACGGGUGAGUAAUGCUUGGGAACAUGCCUUGAGGUGGGGGACAACAGUUGGAAACGACUGCUAAUACCGCAUAAUGUCUACGGACCAAAGGGGGCUUCGGCUCUCGCCUUUAGAUUGGCCCAAGUGGGAUUAGCUAGUUGGUGAGGUAAUGGCUCACCAAGGCGACGAUCCCUAGCUGGUUUGAGAGGAUGAUCAGCCACACUGGGACUGAGACACGGCCCAGACUCCUACGGGAGGCAGCAGUGGGGAAUAUUGCACAAUGGGCGCAAGCCUGAUGCAGCCAUGCCGCGUGUGUGAAGAAGGCCUUCGGGUUGUAAAGCACUUUCAGUCAGGAGGAAAGGUUAGUAGUUAAUACCUGCUAGCUGUGACGUUACUGACAGAAGAAGCACCGGCUAACUCCGUG
This 482-nucleotide ribosomal RNA is filed under the name uncultured Pseudoalteromonas sp. RNAcentral's name for it is "bacterial SSU rRNA". It matches the Rfam family "Bacterial small subunit ribosomal RNA", at positions 30 to 507 of the family's 1533-position model. Lineage: Bacteria; Pseudomonadati; Pseudomonadota; Gammaproteobacteria; Alteromonadales; Pseudoalteromonadaceae. The record is from RNAcentral.